Molecule: transfer RNA, 83 nt
Filed under: Myxococcales bacterium
Lineage: Bacteria; Pseudomonadati; Myxococcota; Myxococcia; Myxococcales
Description: tRNA-Leu
Rfam family: tRNA
About the family: Transfer RNA (tRNA) molecules are approximately 80 nucleotides in length. Their secondary structure includes four short double-helical elements and three loops (D, anti-codon, and T loops).
Source: RNAcentral
GCCGGGGUGGCGGAAUGGCAGACGCAGGCGACUUAAAAUCGCUCGUGAGAUUUCACGUGCGGGUUCGAAUCCCGCCCCCGGCA